This is a long non-coding RNA of Dermacentor silvarum, 271 nucleotides long. RefSeq lists it as uncharacterized. The transcript is spliced from 3 exons. Lineage: Eukaryota; Metazoa; Arthropoda; Arachnida; Ixodida; Ixodidae. The record is from RefSeq and is a predicted model, not a curated record.
ACUAUUUAAAUUUUCACUUUCAGCUGAUUCGUGACGAUCAACUGCGAUAUAUUCAACAGCGUUUAGUCGCUUCUCCUUUUUGCUGCACGCCAUGAGUAUUAAGUGCCUGGCCCUGUGCUCUCUCCUGGUCAUCAUUUUUGUCGCGGAUACAAUGGUGUCAUCGACUACCGUAGCCUGCCGCAGGGGCCAGAAGCCUUUCUGUAUUGGAAAUGGAAAGGGACCGGACAAGUGCAACUGCGUUCCCAAAAACAGUACAUGCCCACCCACGGGA